AUAAGGUGUAUGAAAAAUAUCUCAUUGUAAAAAUUAACUUGGAUGUUUUGAAAAUCUUAAACUCCUUAUUCUGUCCCCCAUUAUUUCCUUUUGUAAUUUUUUCAAAUGGUUAUGUAAAGGAACUGAACCCACUAUUUACAAAGCAUGAAUCUCCUUAAAAGCCAAACAGAGAGGCAAGAAGAAAGGAGGGCUCCACAUGUACAUGAAGAUUCUUUAGGGUCGGGGUGUCAUCUGGGGGGAACAUCUGCUUGCUUUUAUUGUGCUGGAUUGUUAACAUACUCCUGGGGAGCCAGGAACAUGUGUACCCAAUUUUGUGAUUCUCACUUAGUGAAUGUCGGCAGAGUGAGCAAAUAAAUGAAUAAACACA
This 367-nucleotide long non-coding RNA is filed under the name Marmota monax (woodchuck). Lineage: Eukaryota; Metazoa; Chordata; Mammalia; Rodentia; Sciuridae. The record is from RNAcentral.